RNAcentral lists this transfer RNA (66 nucleotides) under Puerulus angulatus. RNAcentral's name for it is "tRNA-Ser". The record is from RNAcentral. Lineage: Eukaryota; Metazoa; Arthropoda; Malacostraca; Decapoda; Palinuridae.
GACUGAUUAGUUUACUUAAAACGGGUGUUUUGAAAACACCAAACAAGAGAAAUCUCUUAUUAGUCG